ACGCACGCUGGCGGCGUGCCUAAUACAUGCAAGUCGAACGCACUCUCGUUUAGAUUGAAGGAGUUUGCUCCUGAUUGAUAAACAUUUGAGUGAGUGGCGGACGGGUGAGUAACACGUGGGUAACCUGCCCUAAAGUGGGGGAUAACAUUUGGAAACAGAUGCUAAUACCGCAUAAAACCUAACACCGCAUGGUGUAGGGUUGAAAGAUGGUUUCGGCUAUCACUUUAGGAUGGACCCGCGGUGCAUUAGUUAGUUGGUGAGGUAAAGGCUCACCAAGACCGUGAUGCAUAGCCGACCUGAGAGGGUAAUCGGCCACACUGGGACUGAGACACGGCCCAGACUCCUACGGGAGGCAGCAGUAGGGAAUCUUCCACAAUGGACGAAAGUCUGAUGGAGCAACGCCGCGUGAGUGAAGAAGGUUUUCGGAUCGUAAAACUCUGUUGUUGGAGAAGAAUGUAUCUGAUAGUAACUGAUCAGGUAGUGACGGUAUCCAACCAGAAAGCCACGGCUAACUACGUG
RNAcentral lists this ribosomal RNA (519 nucleotides) under uncultured bacterium. Its description in RNAcentral is "partial 16S ribosomal RNA". It matches the Rfam family "Bacterial small subunit ribosomal RNA", at positions 29 to 507 of the family's 1533-position model. The record is from RNAcentral.